GCCUCCGCAGGACCGCCUCCUCCUGGAAGUCGGCGGGAACCUCGGGGAGCCGCUCUGCGCCCGGUCCCCGCACCCCUGCGGGCUAGAAGGCGCGAAGAAGCCCGGCUUCCCGACCCCCGGAGCGGCUGGGAUAGAGGCGUCUGGGCAGCGGACCGCGCGGCUCCUGCGGUUUCUGCCUCUGCCUUGGGCUUGAAGCCAAGGCCGUACCUACGGCCGGUGCCCACGGCCAGUGCCCUCCAGCCCCCGGCACCCGCUGACCCCGCGCGCCUUCCUCUGCUCCGUCACCAGCUCCUGCACCUGCCUUUGCAAGGGUCUCUCCGCCUUCACCGAGAACCUGGGGGCAGAGGCCCAGGGCACUCAGGGUGUCCGUUACUGAGGAAGGGGAGGGAAAAUCAUUUUCUCUCUACCCUUGGAAGCCCUUGGCUGGGAACUCUGUCACAAGAGAGCAGCAAAAGAAAAACACAAGUUUAUUAACACGUAUACCUCCUGGGUGCCUGGGAGAGACCCGCGGGAAAGGAGCCCCUCCCCCAUGUGGGCUGGAAGGAAAUCCGGUACCACCGUCCCCUAAGGACAAGAGAGGAACGUGUGCGGGAACAGGAGAAAGCUGAGGGAUUCCCGUGCACAAGAGGGAUCCCCAGCAACACAGAUCCAGGUGACCCAGGACCACAAGAUAUGGGGGCCUGGCAUUUGCCAUCUAGGGAUGAGCCUCAGCAGCUUAUCUUGUAACCCAGCCCCUGCUCCCUGAGGCCCACAAGGCCCUUGCCCCUCUCUCCGGGAGCUGGAGGCCUUGGGAGACCAAGGAGGCUGCCCAGCAGGUACCUAGACACAAUCUCCUUCCUGGAUUCCUUUUGCGGUGUUCUUCCAUCAUUCCUGCAGGAUUUCGUCGUCUGCAUCCUCUGCGAGGUACUUCUAUUCAAUCUUUCAAGGCCUGUCUAUGACAAUGUACUCCUUCUACUCUUGUUCUUCUGAGAAAGUCUUUUUCUCCUGCACUUGGAAGGAUAGUGUCAUUGUAACAGAUUCCACAUAGGUAGCUGUUUCUCUCAAUGCUUUCAAUAUUUGACUCCACUCUUGGUGCUUGGAUGGUUUCUGAGGAGAAGGCCGCCAGCAUUCUUAUCCCGGCUCCCCUCCAGGCAAGGCCUUCCCACCUCCUUCAUCAAACCACCAUAAAAGCCCUCGACUUUAGCCUCAUCUUUGAGUCUGCCUUCCUCAGGAAGGUCCACGCCCUGUAAAACGUACAUAAAUGUGUGUGUCUUCCUCCCGUUCAUCUGUCUCUGAGUCUCAUUUCCACACCCAGCCAGGGGCCCUAAGAGGGGAAAGAAAAAUGUUCCCUUCCCUGAAAGCUCUUGGUACAUUAAUCAUUUCCUGUUCUGAUGACUCCAAAAAUUUCCCCUAAGAAUCUCACUCUCAGGCGUUCUCUGUCUCUAAAACUUGUGUUUUUGUCUUUCAGCAUGACUUGUCACUUUUCUGAAAGCCAAACACGAGUGCUGGUGAAAGGAGCUGAGGUCAACAGGCCUCCCACUUCCCCCCAUGGGUGGGCACAGAAGGGGCUGGGAGUACCUACCCCUCAGGUCUGUUGGGCUCUGGCGGACAGUCUUCCCCACGCACAGGCCUUGUUAGGGAGAAUGACGGCUUUGAGGGUAUAUUUAAAUGGUCAUUAUUGCCCUCCCGGAAGGGGUGGGGGGAGAGUGUGGGAAGGGAUUUUGUUCUCCAGUCUUCACUGGGAGAACCAAGUAGGACUCCCAAGGGUAAAAGUCACACAAGUGUGGGGGCUUCCGUAGGAGUGGCUGCUUCUGGUUUUUGACUUCAUGCUUGUCCACAGGAAACCUCCAGCAACUCCUGGUUGACCUGUUCCUCCCUCAUACUGGUUCCAGGGGUGGUUUCCACAACAGUGAGCUGGGAUGCCUCCCAAUGCGGUUGACCCUGUUGACCGCAGUUCUUUGACGGAGCUAAGAAAAGUUGUUAAUUUUCAGUUUGUUUAGCUUUUUUGUCAUUCCGAGGACAGGAGCGACAACUUCUAAACAGUUGAUGUGCAGGAUGAGAAACAAGAAGUGGUCCAGUUCAGUUUUAUCGAAGAUAUGUGCAUUGCUUGGCAAUUUCUUUAGGAUUUAGCAAGAAAGUGAACCUAGACUCCAGUCAGAACCAAAGAAGAACACUCCCUCUGUGGAACAAGAACUGCACUGGGAAGCCCAAAUUGCUUGGCACUGAAACCCUUAGGACCAGCCAGGAGCCUGCCCUUCCAACUCUGCAAAAAUACACUCUCUCCCUCUCAGUCAGAUUCCUUUGUGAAAUCCAGGAUGGCGUCAUCCAAAUUAGGGGAAGGCUCAGGUGAAUUUCCUCAGGUGGGAAAGCUCAAGCCAGAUUCUUCGUAAGUGGAACAUCUGUGGACUGAAGGUCCAAGUCCCCCGUCUUCACAGACCGGCAUCGGAGGCAGAGGCUAAACACCAUCCACACUCCCGUUCAAAGAGAACAAAACCAGGGGACACACCGAGUUCCAGCAGUUCCAGAGGCCAGUGAGCACAGGAUGCCACUUGACUGCGACUCAGUCGUGCUGGCUGGGAACUGUCCUCCGGACUCCUGGCCGCUCUGUCCCACUCAUCCGUCCUGUUCAUACGGCAUUUCUUUUACUGAGACUUUGUCCUAAACUUUGCUCAUUUCGUGCUGUCCUCCGGCUUUUCGAGUCCGCACCGUCGGCGUUCAGCCACCAUGCUCCUGACACCCCUGCGAUGUCAUGAACAUUGCUGGAGUGGAUUCCUUUAGACCUGGAGUCGGCAGACGAUGACCCCAGGCCACAUCUGGCCAGCUGCCCGUUUUUAUAAAGUUUUCUGGGAACACAGCCACACUUACUUUCUCAUAUUAUCUGUGGCUGCUUUCCUGAUGCAGCAGCAGAUGUGAGUCAUGUCAACAGACAAGCCUAAAAUAUUUCCCAUCCGGCCCCCUCAAGAAAAAGUGUUCCAACCUCCAUAUUAAACAACAACUGCGUUUGCAAACCUGGGAACAGGAGUCCUUGUCUACCUUGGCUUCCGAUACAGCUGCUGGCGGGGCGCACCCCCAGAUUUGUGGGUUUGUGAAUGGGACACGUAGAACAUGUCCUGAAGACCCUUAGAGGUUUGUUGUUCUGCUGAGAGACCACCUUAGCUCACCUGGCCGUGCCAACAAAAGAUUUUUCAAUCACACCUUUGGCUGCUGGCGGGGCUCUGGCCUUAACAUUUGCCUGAAAGGCAUCUCUUAAUUUCGGUGUUGGUUUUCAUCUGCAGCGGUGGGGAGUAAGAAACAGCUUUCUCUUUCAAGCCCUUUCAGCUUGGGCUCAUUGGUAUUUAACUGUUCUUCCCUUAGCUUAAAGCUCUAAUCUCACAUUUUACCAUAAACGGCGAGAAAGGCUGAGCCGGCUGUCAUCACUCUGGCCGGAAAUCUCUUUAGCGACAAGAGCCGGCGUGGAGGUGUCCGUUCCACGACAGUGCGGGCGACGGUGUGGAUGAAUUAUCUGCUGCUCCAUUAAGAAUCAGGUAACAUUUUCCCUGGGAGCCCUGUGUCCCACCUGGUUAGGAUGGGUCCAAACCUAAGGUUCUGCAUUUGUUCAGAACCCCCAACCCCCGCAAUGUGCCUUAAAUCACAAGGAGGGGGGACCGGAGCCUAAAAACUGCCACUAGGCACCAAGCUAAAACCUGUCAGGCCCAUCGCUUCUCUUUCCUUUCUGUCAGGGACCAAGGUCCUGUGGUGACAGCGAGGGUCAGAAAAUGGUCAUUCACGGAUGUGUGUCUGCCAUCCUGGCUGUGUCCGGGACAGGGCAACUCCGACCCCGGCCAGGGGUCACAGGUGGAGGGAGGCGUCGUCGGCAUGCAGAGCUCUCCUGCAACAGCGCUAGGAUUUUCAGUUCCGUCCGUGUUGCUCCAAGGUUGCAAACUAUCACCACAGCAUAAAUGUGCAUGCAUGUACACUGCCCAAUCAUGAAAAUCAAAGUUCCCUCCAAUUUCACAAGGCCGCACCCAGCGCUGUGGCUGACCUCCUUCCAUGUGCCCUGUCACGGCGGGAUCUGAGGGGUGGGGAGGGCGGGGAAAGAUCCAGAAGCAGGAGCAGAAUGGCUCCGUGCUUCACGGAGACAUUUUUCACUUGUGUAAGUUCUCCAGGACGGCAUCCCUCAAUGCCAAACCCCUCCAGUAGGCUAUGGGCGUUCUUUCCUUCCCAGUCCUACGAUAGCAGGUUUUACUCAGCUUUUUACUCUUGCCAAUCAAAUGGUGGUAGAGUAUCAUCUCUUUUUACCUAUUAUUUCUGUGGUGAUAAAUGAUUUUGGAGAUUUUUGCACAAGAUUUGUUGGUCUUCCUAGAUCUCUCUUCCCUAAAUUGCUUGUCCUAUCUUUGGCCCAUGUCCUUGUGAUCUCGCUGCUUGUCAUGGCUUCUUGCUAUGAUAUCUUCUCUCUCUCCAUCUCGCCCCAUCUAUCUGGGGACAAUUUAAAUAUAUUCUCCCAUGAU
Mustela erminea (ermine) is the source of this 4466-nucleotide long non-coding RNA. RefSeq lists it as uncharacterized. The transcript is spliced from 3 exons. NCBI's taxonomy places the organism in Eukaryota, Metazoa, Chordata, Mammalia, Carnivora, Mustelidae. The record is from RefSeq and is a predicted model, not a curated record.